This 807-nucleotide ribosomal RNA is filed under the name uncultured bacterium. Its description in RNAcentral is "bacterial SSU rRNA". It matches the Rfam family "Bacterial small subunit ribosomal RNA", at positions 8 to 794 of the family's 1533-position model. The record is from RNAcentral.
AGAGUUUGAUCCUGGCUCAGGAUGAACGCUAGCGAUAGGCCUAACACAUGCAAGUCGAGGGGCAUCACAAAGAGUAGCAAUACUUUUGGUGGCGACCGGCGGAUGGGUGAGUAACACGUAUGCAACCUACCUUCUACAUUGGGAUAACCCGUUGAAAGACGGACUAAUACCGAAUAAUACAGGGGCGCCACAUGGUGAUAUUUGUUAAAGUUUCGAGCAAUCGAUUCGGUAGAAGAUGGGCAUGCGUAUGAUUAGCUAGUUGGUGAGGUAACGGCUCACCAAGGCAACGAUCAUUAGGGGUUCUGAGAGGAAGGUCCCCCACACUGGUACUGAGACACGGACCAGACUCCUACGGGAGGCAGCAGUGAGGAAUAUUGGUCAAUGGGCGCGAGCCUGAACCAGCCAAGUCGCGUGAAGGAAGACUGUCCUAUGGAUUGUAAACUUCUUUUGUACAGGAAUAAAGUGUUCUACGUGUAGGAUUUUGCAUGCACUGUACGAAUAAGGAUCGGCUAACUCCGUGCCAGCAGCCGCGGUAAUACGGAGGAUCCGAGCGUUAUCCGGAUUUAUUGGGUUUAAAGGGUGCGUAGGUGGACUGAUAAGUCAGUGGUGAAAGUUUGCAGCUUAACUGUAAAAUUGCCGUUGAAACUGUUGGUCUUGAGUGCAAAUGAGGUAGGCGGAAUGUGUUGUGUAGCGGUGAAAUGCUUAGAUAUAACACAGAACACCGAUUGCGAAGGCAGCUUACUGGGAUGCAACUGACACUGAUGCACGAAGGCGUGGGGAUCAAACAGGAUUAGAUACCCCGGUAGU